RNAcentral lists this ribosomal RNA (439 nucleotides) under uncultured bacterium. RNAcentral's name for it is "partial 16S ribosomal RNA". It matches the Rfam family "Bacterial small subunit ribosomal RNA", at positions 339 to 795 of the family's 1533-position model. The record is from RNAcentral.
CUACGGGGGGCUGCAGUGGGGAAUAUUGCACAAUGGACGAAAGUCUGAUGCAGCAACGCCGCGUGGAGGAUGACACAUUUCGGUGCGUAAACUCCUUUUAUAUAGGAAGAUAAUGACGGUACUAUAUGAAUAAGCGCCGGCUAACUCCGUGCCAGCAGCCGCGGUAAUACGGAGGGCGCAAGCGUUACUCGGAAUCACUGGGCGUAAAGAGCGUGUAGGCGGAUAGAUAAGUCAGGAGUGAAAUCCUAUGGCUCAACCAUAGAACUGCUCUUGAAACUGUCUAUCUAGAAUAUGGGAGAGGUAGAUGGGAUUUCUGGUGUAGGGGUAAAAUCCGUAGAGAUCAGAAGGAAUACCGAUUGCGAAGGCGAUCUACUGGAACAUUAUUGACGCUGAGACGCGAAAGCGUGGGGAGCAAACAGGAUUAGAUACCCCUGUAGUC